UACGUAGGUGGCGAGCGUUAUCCGGAAUUAUUGGGCGUAAAGAGCGCGCAGGUGGUUGAUUAAGUCUGAUGUGAAAGCCCACGGCUUAACCGUGGAGGGUCAUUGGAAACUGGUCGACUUGAGUGCAGAAGAGGGAAGUGGAAUUCCAUGUGUAGCGGUGAAAUGCGUAGAGAUAUGGAGGAACACCAGUGGCGAAGGCGGCUUCCUGGUCUGUAACUGACACUGAGGCGCGAAAGCUAGGGGAGCGAACGGGAUUAGAUACCCGCGUA
This 269-nucleotide ribosomal RNA is filed under the name uncultured prokaryote. Its description in RNAcentral is "partial 16S ribosomal RNA". It matches the Rfam family "Bacterial small subunit ribosomal RNA", at positions 524 to 792 of the family's 1533-position model. The record is from RNAcentral.